RNAcentral lists this non-coding RNA (76 nucleotides) under Crenobacter luteus. The record is from RNAcentral. Lineage: Bacteria; Pseudomonadati; Pseudomonadota; Betaproteobacteria; Neisseriales; Neisseriaceae.
UUCAAACCUCGCGCCGAUUUGGGACUGCUUGCGGGCGCGUUACAAAUACCAGCUAAAGUGUCGAGGGAGAAACCCG